Small nuclear RNA from Papaver somniferum (opium poppy), 131 nucleotides. The record is from RefSeq and is a predicted model, not a curated record. Lineage: Eukaryota; Viridiplantae; Streptophyta; Magnoliopsida; Ranunculales; Papaveraceae.
GUGUUCGUUGAAAUGAUAAAUGGUUGGCGCCAUCUCCCCUGACAAGGACGGGAGCAGCUUUCGAGCUUACAUGUUGCCACACACAUCUGGUUUAGGCUAUCUGCUUGGUGUUGGGGUGGAUCUUACAUUGU